ACUCCUACGGGAGGCAGCAGUGGGGAAUCUUGGACAAUGGGGGCGAACCCUGAUCCAGCCAUGCCGCGUGAGUGAUGAAGGCCUUAGGUCGUAAAGCUCUUUCGCCUGUGAUGAUAAUGACAGUAGCAGGUAAAGAAACCCCGGCUAACUCCGUGCCAGCAGCCGCGGUAAUACGGAGGGGGUUAGCGUUGUUCGGAAUUACUGGGGCGUAAAGCGCGCGUAGGCGGAUUAGUCAGUUAGAGGUGAAAUCCCAGGGGCUCAACCCUGGAACUGCCUUUAAUACUGCUAGUCUUGAGUUCGAGAGAGGUGAGUGGAAUUCCGAGUGUAGAGGUGAAAUUCGUAGAUAUUCGGAGGAACACCAGUGGCGAAGGCGGCUCACUGGCUCGAUACUGACGCUGAGGUGCGAAAGCGUGGGGGAGCAAACAGGAUUAGAUACCCGUGGUAGACAUCAC
Molecule: ribosomal RNA, 452 nt
Filed under: uncultured bacterium
Lineage: Bacteria
Description: bacterial SSU rRNA
Rfam family: Bacterial small subunit ribosomal RNA
Source: RNAcentral